UCCCUCAGUGGAAACCCUCCCCCACGCGGAUGGUUGCGGCGCUGCGGGUGGAUCCUCGACCGGCGGUGGGGAUCCAGUGAGCAGCGGCAGCUGCCCAUGGAUGGGCUCAACGGGCCCAAAGAUGGGCUCCACGGGCUCAUCCAGUUUUUUUAAUUUUUUUUUUGAUUAACCGUGGCGGGCAAGAAACCGCUUUGGUUAAUAGUUGAUUUACUACGACCUUCCAUUGAAGGCGUUUCUUUUGCCUGUCUCCUAAAAUAAAAAAACACCCGUUUCUAUUAAAAUUAUUGUAGUAGUGUCACCUUCAUGGAUUGACCUUAACAUGAUCAUCACCACAUAUCAUGACAUGUUUGAGCUCAAAACCUAAGGUCUAACUAGUGGCAAACACCUGGGGUGUUACAUUCAACGAUUGAUCGAUCUAAUCCAGGCAUCUCAGUAUAAUCCCAAGCAAAACAAUCUUUAUAUGCUUCCUCGCCCAAGUCUAGCCGUAAGGGUAUAGGGGUUUAUACCCCCACAGCUUGGAGCCAGCUUAGAUGUCCAAAGAGUGCUUAGCGACUUCCCUUGGUAUACCAAGCAUGUCCGAAGGACUCCAUGCAAACACAUUGUCAUUUGCAUAGAGAAAGUCGAUGAGCACUGCUUCCUAUUUAGAGUCAAGGCUUG
This 657-nucleotide long non-coding RNA is filed under the name Sorghum bicolor (sorghum). RNAcentral describes it as "long non-coding RNA (SBIC_LNC014266)". Lineage: Eukaryota; Viridiplantae; Streptophyta; Magnoliopsida; Poales; Poaceae. The record is from RNAcentral.